RNAcentral lists this ribosomal RNA (459 nucleotides) under uncultured bacterium. RNAcentral's name for it is "partial 16S ribosomal RNA". It matches the Rfam family "Bacterial small subunit ribosomal RNA", at positions 338 to 795 of the family's 1533-position model. The record is from RNAcentral.
CCUACGGGUGGCAGCAGUGAGGAAUAUUGGUCAAUGGGCGGGAGCCUGAACCAGCCAAGCCGCGUGAGGGAAGAAGGUACAGCGUGUCGUAAACCUCUUUUGUCAGGGAACAAAGGCGGGGACUAGUCCCCGGAUGAGGGUACCUGAAGAAAAAGCAUCGGCUAACUCCGGGCCAGCAGCCGCGGUAAUACGGAGGAUGCGAACGUUAUCCGGAUUUAUUGGGGUUAAAGGGUGCGCAGGCGGCCUGUUAAGUCAGGGGGAAAAGCGCGGGGCUCAACCCCGGCGCGCCGUUGAAACUGGCGGGCUGGAGUGGGAGAGAAGUACGCGGAAUGCGCGGUGUAGCGGUGAAAUGCUUAGAUAUCGCGCAGAACCCCGAUUGCGAAGGCAGCGUACCGGCUCCACACUGACGCUGAGGCACGAAAGCGUGGGUAUCGAACAGGAUUAGAUACCCUGGUAGUC